UGGGGAAUAUUGGACAAUGGGCGCAAGCCUGAUCCAGCCAUGCCGCGUGGAUGAAGAAGGCCCUAGGGUUGUAAAGUCCUUUCGCUAGGGAAGAUAAUGACGGUACCUAGUAAAGAAGCCCCGGCUAAUUUCGUGCCAGCAGCCGCGGUAAUACGAAAGGGGCUAGCGUUGUUCGGAAUUACUGGGCGUAAAGCGCACGUAGGCGGCCUUGUAAGUUGGGGGUGAAAUCCCGGGGCUCAACCCCGGAACUGCCUCCAAAACUACAAAGCUUGAGGAUGCGAGAGGAUAGUGGAAUUCCGAGUGUAGAGGUGAAAUUCGUAGAUAUUCGGAAGAACACCAGUGGCGAAGGCGACUGUCUGGCGCAUAUCUGACGCUGAGGUGCGAAAGCGUGGGGAGCAAACAGGAUUAGAUACCCGUGUAGUCC
Molecule: ribosomal RNA, 424 nt
Filed under: uncultured prokaryote
Description: bacterial SSU rRNA
Rfam family: Bacterial small subunit ribosomal RNA
Source: RNAcentral